GUUGAUUAAGGAUGCAUACUUAGUUUUCAUGCAUGAGUUUGAUGCUAGGAUAUAAAUGAGUUUCACCUAAUCGUUACAAGUUUAUAUUCAUAGGUAGUGAAGGUUGCUAGUCACAAUCGCGUUAAUUGAAUUCUUGGCAAACGUAUCAUGCAUUCAUAGUUACGAAUGCCUCGUUAACACUUAUGAAUUUCAUAGAACGUAAUGAUCUUUGAUUGUAUCUCUAUUAUGCAUUCAUGUAGAGGACUUUUGGAGAAUAAUGUGGAUUGUCGUAUGCAUUCAUCCAAUUCAAUAAAUCAAGGAAAAUCUGAGGAUUAAUUAGUGCAUCACGGUUAAUCUGGGGUGUUGAGUUUCAUAAUCUAUUGAAAAGAAAUUGGAAAUCGAUUCAUGUACAAGUGUGUCAUGUGUGAAGAAUGGAUCUCUAGCUAAUCCAUCAACCAUAUAUUUAGUUUUACUUUUUGUUGUUAUCUCAAUCACAACCAAAACCAAUACCCCCCAUUUACUUUCUUGUAUCAAAGUGUGUUUAAGUUUGUUUUGAACUCUUUGAGUCUAGUUUAGUGUUUUAAAGCCUACUUUUGUGUUUUAAGUUUCUUCUUAUAUUUUUGAGUCAAGUGAGAGGUUAUUAGCAAGCCCUCCUAAUCCCCGGUCCAGAACGAUCCCUACUUAUACAUAUACUACAAUUGUCAACAAGAGGGUUUAAUUUGUGUGUUUAGUUAUUUUACGCAUCAAAUUUUGGCGCCGUUGCCGGGGAUCGAACCCGGGUCACCCGCGUGACAGGCGGGGAUCGAACCCUUAAUUUGUGUGUUUUUCACAUGCAUCCCCGGCAACGGCGCCAAAAUUUGAUGCGAAAAUAAGUUAACACACAAAUUAAACCCUAUUUGUGACAAUUGUAGUAAUGAUGUAAGUAGGGAUCGUUCUAACCGGGGAUUAACUAGGGGUGCUAAACACUUGACUCAAAUAAAUAAAACUAACUUUUAAAACACUAAGACAAACCAAAAGACUCAAAACAAGUUCAAAAGACUCCAAAUACUUAAAAGUAUAAAAUAAGAUAGAUUUGAACGACUAAGACUUUAACAAAAUAUGGGGAGGGGGAAUUGAGUUGUUUUUGACGAGAUUAAAUUAAAUGGACAGAUUAUAAUUAAGGGCAAAAUGUAAAUAUGAAUGCGAUGAAAAAUAUGGAUGAUGGAAUAGCUUAAGGGGUUCUUCUCCACUUCUGUCACACUUGCAAUACAAGAUCGAUUCUCAGUUGGUCUUUCGAUAAAUUAUGAAACUCAACACCCUAGGUUAAUUAGGUCCGCUUAAAUUAACCGUCAAGUUCUCCUUAAGUUAAUGAAUUGGAUGGGUUUGCGCAACGCAAUUCACAACAUUCUCCAAAAGUCCUUUACGUGAAAAGCACAAUAAAGAUACAAUCAAAGAUCAUUAAGCAUCAUGAAACUAUAAGUGUUGACGAGGCAUUCGUUACUAUGAAAAGCAUGAAACUAGUGCCAAGAAUUCAUUUAACGCGAUUGUUUAUAAGCAACCUCCACUACUUGUGAAUAUAAGUUCAUAACGAUUAGGUGAAACUCACUUAUAUUCUAGCGUCAUAUUUAUGCAUGAAAAUUAAGCGUGCACUCUCAAUAAACAUACAUAAAUAAGUUAUCAAUCAAACGGUUAAACAAAUUGAAUCCACAACUUAUGAAAUUCCAACCAAAGGUAAUCAAUUCAUAUUGCAAGCAUAAACAUAGUUUCGAAUCACCCCCUAGCUAAAGGGGGGUUUAGUUCCUCAUACUUAUAAGACAAAGAGAAUUGAAUUUAAACAUUGAAAUCAAAGAAACACCUAAACAUUCCAACAACUCAAACUUGAAUUGUAUGAACGUUUAGACCCUCUUCUCUUCCUCUUUGUUGUAGCACAAGGUCUAAGGAAAUGUUUAGGGCUUUAGGUGUAUGUGGAAUGGAGUGGGGAAUGAUUGCAAUGAAGAGAAAAUAUGCAGAAAAUGGAAGAGAUAUGCACGGCAGAGAAUGGGAUUUUGUGAUGGUUUGUUGUGUGAUUGUUUUGUGGUGAAUUUCCUCCCUUGUAUGAAUGCAUUGCAUGGUUUUAUAGGGAGAGAAUGGAUGGGUGAGCAUGUUAAUGGCAGCUAGGAUGAAUGAUUUAAAGGGGUUGCUAGGUUGGAAAUGAUUAAAGAGUGAGGGGAUGCAUGUGAAAAACAGCUAGGAAAAAUUGGUGGAAUGCUGGAAUUGUUAAGGGAUGCACGGCAAUGGGGGGUUAGGUGUGCAUGUGGCUGAUUUGUUUGUUGGGAAAGCUUGUGAGUGAAUGAUUAAAGAUGCAUGUGGAUGAAUUAUACAAUGGGAAAGUAUGUGAUUGACAACUAGGGUGAAUGGUGGCUGCAAUGAUGAAGUGUGAUGGCUAAAAAUGGCAAGGGAAGGCACGGCAAUGGGUGGUUUGGUGUGGCUGUUUUGUGUUGUGAAUUAUGAUGAAUGCAUGUGGAUUAAAGAAGAAUAUGGAAGUGAAUAAAUCAUAAUAGGGCUGCAAGUUUAAAGGGCUAGGGUUUAAGUACAUAAAAUGGGCCUAAAAUAGGGUGGUUUGCAUGGCAAGGAAAUGGUGUUAUAUGGUUAAGCCCAUGGCAAGGUUGUGUAAUUGGGUUAGGGCCAUUGUUUUGUGUCCUCAAGUGCAUACAAGGCCUUCAAAUUCAUCCAACAUUUUGGCUCCAAGCCUAAGCUAUCCAUCCUUAGCCCAAUAGUGCUCCACAAAGGCCUCUAAAAGCACUUCUUUGCUCCUUAAGCCCUUAGAACCUGAAAACACACAAAAGAAGCAUAAAGGACUAAAAUAACUAAAGAAACAUAACGUAAAAGUACGAGAACAAGCCAUUUAAGUCGCAUGAAUAUGCUCCUAUCAAAUUCCCCCACACUUAGCUUUUGCUAGUCCUCGAGCAAAACAGAAAAAUCAAAACAAAACAAAACGAAACAAAACAAACUAAAGACAAUCUUAAACCUUCCAACGUUGCCUCAGGGAUUUCCAAUGCACAUGACAUGCAAAAGAUCAUCAUAACCACAUAUUUUGGCCUUCCUUACCCUUGAGCACAUACUUAAUCAUAGUCACCACAUACUAGUUCACAUAUAACCAAUUAAAACUAUGUUUUGAAUGUAGUAACAUGCCUUAGAGAAUUUGCUCAAUUCCUUACAAGAUACACUCUUAUUUUCACUCUGAAUUUCUGACUACACACCCUACACUAGGUGUAUGUGAGAAGAUUGAUGUAAACAUGAAAACGAACACUCACAUAUGUUUAAAGCAAAGAAAGCAAUUUCUGGAGUUAUUAAGCAUGUAUAGAUAUGAUCUCAUGACUGGAAUGCUACUACUUAGAUGCGAGAACCAGGGACACCAUAUGCUCGUACCAAUCCCAAACUCCACAUAUUGAAACACAUAACACUCAAGAUUGAAGUUAAGGGUUGUAACGGGGUUAGGGGUGAUUGGCUAACAAUGAAAGGUAAGGAAACAAACGUUUUUAAAGCAUAAUAAGCAAAGUAAUGAAAUUGAUGCUUAGAAUUCCCUUUGAAUGCAGCAACUAACUUUAAACACAAUGGGGUUAUUCAUUCAACUUUUUAGGGCCGAUUUCAACUACAAACAACACUUGUGAGCCUUUCCUCACUUAUUUCAAACUCUUUUUCUUUUCUUUUUUUUUUCUUUUUCUUUUCCUUUUCUAACCCGUGCCUUAUUACUUUUUGGCACACAAAACACAAAAAUCUCAUUCCCCCACACUUGUUUUCUGCAUAAGGACAAUCAAAAGGAAUUCAUUUUAAGUCAUGCUUCAUUAUGCUUUAAAAACAAGGGUAUGGAUAGUCCUAAUCUAGGCUAGGUAAGGGAAAUGUGGUUUAACAAAGAAAACAGGCUAAACAAGGCUCAACGGGAUUAAACUUAAACAAAUAUGCACGGGAUAAGCUUUUUGGCUCUAGUUCACUACACAACUUCAUCUUGAAUAUGUGUUAUGCAAAUCAAUGUCAUGCUUUGAAUGAACGGGCAUAAGUUCUAGUAUUUGGAACUAAAUGAUGAAACGCCUUCUAAGUAGCAACCAAGCAAAGAAUGAUGAGAUCAUGCAACGACUUUAGAAAAAAAAAAUGCACAGAUUAAUAACUCUCCAAAGAACGUAUUAGGCUCAAGUCUCUCAAGGUUGUAGUGUUAGUUUAAGUUCCUUCCUUCAAGCAUGUUACAAAAACUGAAUUUUUUCUUUGUGAUUACAUGUGAAUUCGUAAACUAUAACUAUAACCAAGCAUAAAUCAAGAGCAUAUCAAACUUCCAUCCAUGUUUAUAACUUUCCUUAACAGUCAUGCAAUUAACAAACCAAAUCCUCAUUAUUGUGUUGGAAGGUACCCUAAGACACAAACAAACACACAAAAACAACUCUUUUUGGCUUUUUCAAAACAAUUUUUUCAAAUUUUCGGUUUUUUAUGUCAAAACAUACUAACAUGCUUAAAAACACAAAAAAAAAAACACUUAAAACAGCAAGAAACAACAUUGUAAGUGAUAGGUGAAUAAAAUCCCACGAAAAUCAUGCAACAGCAACUUGUUUUACCCCCCCACACUUAAAUCUAACAUUGUCCUCAAUGUUUCAAACAUAAACUCACACAAAAGCAAACAAACAAACAACGAGGAAACAUGAUAAACAUGGCAAAGUAAAAGCAACAGAGAGGAGGGUUAAAGAACGCAAACACCUGGUUUUGGAGUCGGAAAUUCCUAGGUCUUCUUUAUUUCCAUGGGUUGCCUCCAUCACUAAUGAGAACUCUAGGCAUGCCAAACCUAGCAAAGAUAUUAGUUUUCACAAAAUCUGCAACAACCUUUGAA
Molecule: long non-coding RNA, 4810 nt
Filed under: Malus domestica (apple)
Lineage: Eukaryota; Viridiplantae; Streptophyta; Magnoliopsida; Rosales; Rosaceae
Description: long non-coding RNA (MDOM_LNC014108)
Source: RNAcentral